AUUGAACGCUGGCGGCAGGCCUAACACAUGCAAGUCGAGCGAGCGGCGGACGGGUGAGUAAUGUCUGGGAAACUGCCUGUUGGAGGGGGAUAACUACUGGAAACGGUUGCUAAUCCCGCAUACCAUCAGAUGUGCCCAGAUGGGAUUAGCUAGUGGGGGGGGUAAUGGCCCACCUAGGCGACGAUCCCUAGCUGGUCUGAGAGGAUGACCAGCCACACUGGAACGGAUACACGGUCCAGACUCCUACGGGAGGCAGCAGUGGGGAAUAUUGCACAAUGGACGAAAGCCUGAUGCAGCCAUGCCGCGUGUGUGAAGAAGGCCUUCGGGUUGUAAAGCACUGUCAGCAGGGAGGCGGUACCUGCAGAAGAAGCACCGGCUAACUCCGUGCCAGCCGCCGCGGUAAUAC
RNAcentral lists this ribosomal RNA (406 nucleotides) under uncultured bacterium. Its description in RNAcentral is "partial 16S ribosomal RNA". It matches the Rfam family "Bacterial small subunit ribosomal RNA", at positions 30 to 526 of the family's 1533-position model. The record is from RNAcentral.